Molecule: ribosomal RNA, 301 nt
Filed under: uncultured bacterium
Lineage: Bacteria
Description: partial 16S ribosomal RNA
Rfam family: Bacterial small subunit ribosomal RNA
Source: RNAcentral
CAGUAGCCGCGGUAAUACGAAGGGUGCAAGCGUUACUCGGAAUUACUGGGCGUAAAGCGUGCGUAGGUGGUGAUUUAAGUCCGUUGUGAAAGCCCUGGGCUCAACCUGGGAAUUGCAGUGGAUACUGGGUCACUAGAGUGUGGUAGAGGAUAGUGGAAUUUCCGGUGUAGCAGUGAAAUGCGUAGAGAUCGGAAGGAACAUCUGUGGCGAAGGCGACUAUCUGGGCCAACACUGACACUGAGGCACGAAAGCGUGGGGAGCAAACAGGAUUAGAUACCCCCGUAGUCCCUGUCUCUUAUAC